Molecule: non-coding RNA, 77 nt
Filed under: uncultured Sporosarcina sp.
Lineage: Bacteria; Bacillati; Bacillota; Bacilli; Caryophanales; Caryophanaceae
Description: Cyclic di-GMP-II riboswitch
Rfam family: Cyclic di-GMP-II riboswitch aptamer (bases 7-73)
Source: RNAcentral
AAAUAUGGAAACGAUGAUGUGCGAUCCUUUAUCUGGGCACCUGGGACGCAUGGAGUGAGUGGUGCAACCGGCCUCGU